RNAcentral lists this ribosomal RNA (253 nucleotides) under uncultured prokaryote. Its description in RNAcentral is "partial 16S ribosomal RNA". It matches the Rfam family "Bacterial small subunit ribosomal RNA", at positions 524 to 776 of the family's 1533-position model. The record is from RNAcentral.
UACGGAGGUGGCGAGCGUUACUCGGAAUCAUUGGGUGUAAAGGGCAGGUAGGCGGUUUGUUAAGUGAGGGGUGAAAUCUCCCGGCUCAAUCGGGAAACUGCCUUUCAAACUGGCAGACUUGAGUGUGAUAGGGGGAGGCGGAAUUAGCAGUGUAAGGGUGAAAUCUGUAGAUAUUGCUAAGAACACCAGCGGCGAAGGCGGCCUCCUGGAUCACAACUGACGCUGAUCUGCGAAAGCUAGGGGAGCAAACAGA